GAGUUGCUUUCCGUCGAACGCCUCUACGUUGCAAAGAAACGAGUCACGAAGCUUUGGGUGUCUGCGUUCUUCGAAGCAGAGGUGUACAAGCAUCCACUGAGGAACGUCCCUGUGUACGCUGAUCAACGGAGGAUCGGUUCAGCGUGUCGCACGAGGCAGCACCUUGAAACGAGUCACGAAGCUUUGAGUGUCUGCUUUCUUCUAAGCAGAGGUCUACAAGCAUCCACUGAGGAACGUCCCUGUGUACGCUGAUCAACGGAGGAUCGGUUCAGCGUGUCGCACGAGGCAGCACCUUGAAACGAGUCACGAAGCUUUGAGUGUCUGCUUUCUUCUAAGCAGAGGUCUACAAGCAUCCACUGAGGAACGUCCCUGUGUACGCUGAUCAACGGAGGAUCGGUUCAGCGUGUCGCACGAGGCAGCACCUUGAAACGAGUCACGAAGCUUUGGGUGUCUGCGUUCUUCGAAGCAGAGGUGUACAAGCAUCCACUGAGGAACGUCCCUGUGUACGCUGAUCAACGGAGGAUCGGUUCAGCGUGUCGCACGAGGCAGCACCUUGCGCCGCAGAGUGGGCAAUGUGCUGGCGAAGAACGACCGCUCGUGCCCUAUGGAAUUCUAAUCUAUCGAUGUGACUGGAAGAGCAUGCUUUAUUAGACUAGUCUUCCGGUAGGUCACGGGGGGAAAAGCUCCGCACGAUGCGCUCGAACGAGUUUAUUGCAUAUCCUUAGGGAUCGUUAAACCUGACCGCAGUCUACCCGUGUGCACGACUACGAUCGGCAGGUAGAGAAGCGCCCGCUAUGCGCUUCCGGACCUCGUGUGUACCAUGGAUCCAAGACCAGAAGUUGCUUCGUGAUCAUGGUACGUUCAUGCGAUGCACGCGGGUGUCUUGCAUGGAUCCAUCGAGUAUCGACAACUGUGCCUGGUGAAUGGCGCUGCGGACGACGUACGAACAAAGACCAGCUUUGCUUUAGCCUGUGUGGGUGCUGGCUCCAGUGAGUUUCCGAGCAGAUGGCACGCCGAGCGUACCGCUUGCGGGCGACUUCAGUCUCCGAACUAGUGGUCCGGUCACCAGCUAGAGUGUGCAUCUGAAGGAGCAACGGCCAGCGAAGCCAUGUAUUCACAUAUUGAGUAUCCGCCCGGGAAGUAUGCAGGUUUUACGUAUGCUUGCAGGUUUGCGGGUACGCGACCACAUUCACGAAAGCGCUUUCGCAAGAAUGGCGCUGACUCUCUACCCGUUUCAGAUGAGAGUGGAACACUGAUUUGUUCACUCUGUUGCUGGUGUGAGAUUUUUAUUCGAACUUUUUUCCUUCUAGACGCACUGCAUCGACACUCCAUGCCCAGGUGCUCGUGCUGAGGGAUUCUCGGCGAUAUUUUCCGAGUGGCUGGUCUGCCACUCUGCUGCGGGAACACGUUACAUCAUCGGAAUCGAUAUGAUUCGUGACGCGUUCAUGUAACGGAGCGCAAACUAAUGGAAACCAUGAUUCAGCAUAUACGCGGAAGCAUCCAUGCUUCCCGUUUUACUACGGCUUCCAUGUGCAAAUCAAGCAUGCUUCAAGAGCUCGAGCUUUGCGUUUCGAGGUAACUCGUGGGACGAGGUAUGCUCGCCACAGCAUCCACGUAGAAAACCGGGUGUCGUCUCUCGACGUUUUGUACACAAGCGCAUACCAAAAGAUCGUUGAACUUUUCACAAAAAUGCAUCGAUUCCGUUUGAAAGCCAAGUCACUCUCAUUCUGUGGCGAUCUACAAAACGGUAUCUAAACAAGCAGGAUGCCUCUCAUGGGUAUUUUCCCAAAAGUUCCCGCCUCCUGUGUUUGCACAGAAAAGCGCUUUGUACUCGGACGUGAAUCAUCGCAGCGUUCAUAUCCAGUGCAGCAUGCGUCACCAUUUUUCAAGAAUGGAGCGCAGACGGUUCGGGAUAACUCGACUUGAGCCUAGAUUUUCCUCUCUGUACUUGUUUCAUCAUGGACAGUAUCACUAUCCAGAAAUCGUGCAUCAUAUCGGACGAGCUGCACUUGCGUGCGUACGCACCGGACAGCAUCCUCGACCAGGGGAUCGCUGCACAGAAGCCCAUGAUCCUGGGCUACGGCACCGGGCGCUGAAAGCCAACGCGGGCAUCGAGGCGAACCUACUGAACCCACGAAGCGCAUGUGCCGAGCGCACGCACUUGCCACCAUGCGGUGCACGGGAGAGGAGGCGUGAUGGACAAAUGAGAACUCCUGAACGAAAUUAGGGUACCAUCGCUGCACAACGGUACACCAAAUCCCUACCAACUGAAAAUGAGACAGACAAGCGAAGCGUCAAUCGCAGCGAUACCCGGACGUUGGGUGUCAACUACAUACCUCGACUGCAUGCAACGGAGCGAUAGGGAAUCGAGAGAUCAGCGUUUAGAAAACCAGACA
Molecule: RNA transcript, 2396 nt
Organism: Cyanidioschyzon merolae strain 10D
Lineage: Eukaryota; Rhodophyta; Bangiophyceae; Cyanidiales; Cyanidiaceae
Exons: 1
Source: RefSeq, a predicted model, not a curated record